CUUACGGGAGGCAGCAGGGGGGAAAAUGGCGCAAUGGGCGAAAGCCGGACCCAGCCAUGCCGCGUGGGGGAAGAAGGCCUUCGGAUUGUAAAGCACUUUACGUUGGGAGGAAGGGUCGUCAGGGAAUAGCUUGGUGUUUUGACGAUACCGACCCAUUAAGCACCGUUUAACUCUGUGGCAGCAGCCGGGGUAAU
RNAcentral lists this ribosomal RNA (194 nucleotides) under uncultured bacterium. RNAcentral describes it as "partial 16S ribosomal RNA". It matches the Rfam family "Bacterial small subunit ribosomal RNA", at positions 338 to 524 of the family's 1533-position model. The record is from RNAcentral.